ACCCACUGAGGGAGAUGAGGAAACAGAGUUACGGCACCCUAGAGAAUGAGGGGCACCCAAUGCCAAAGCGCCAACAUACUGAGAAGAUGGGGAGGUAAACACAGAACAGACCCCGUCUGCUCUCUUUUAGCCCGUGGACUUCACGUGCUUGAUGAACCAGAACUCUGGGAGGCCAUUGCCUUGGCACAUGGAAUCCAAGGCUUAGCAAAAUUAAGGUGGCUAUCACUGGACAGCAUUUGUACUCCAAUAGCAUGCUGCUAGCCCCUGGCAGCCACCAUUCUACUGUCUGUUUCUAUGAAUUUGACUACUCUAGGUACCUCAUCCUGAGAUCUGAGCUCUACCGCUUUUCUCCUUAUGAACUCCAAGAGCACAGUACCAAAGGCAGCCCCUAGACAUUAGAAUUGCAAAAAAGGUCCAUCUUCCUCUUUCCAGUUAGAAGGACAGAAUUGAUAGCCAGGCCACUGCAUCCCCCAGCCUGUGCUUCAGUGUACAUCAGCGGAAGGAGCUGUGGGGUAAAGAUCCAAGCCAGGACACCACAUUACAUUGUUCUCAGGGCUCCUUUGGUUCCUGUUGACUAUGACCAUUUCUUAGAAUUACUUUGUUUUGAUGACCUUGACAAUAUUGAGGAGUACUGCUCAGGAAUAAUUUCGAUGUGACCCAGUGCAUCUUCUUUAGGAUCAUCACCAGGAAGCUGUGAGUGAUGUCACUGCCCUGAAUUGGUGAAGCACUGGGGUGUUUUUAUGCAGUUUAUGGUGGUGCUGCCUUCAUCCAGGCCUGUAAUUGGAAUCCUCAUGCUGUAGCUGCUCUGAGAAAAGAAAAAUCUAGAGAUAAAUGGAGUAGCAGAUCGGUGCCAAAUAUACUUUGAGGAUAACGGGAAGGUGAACACAGUGUGUCUUUCCAUCUGUGUUGUCUUCAAUUUCUUUCAUCAGUGUCAUAGUUUUCUGAAUACAGAUUUUUUACCUCCUCAGGCCCCUUAGCAUAUGGAAAUUCCAGGCCGAGGGAGAGAAUCUGAGCCAGAGUGCAACCUACACUGCAGCUACAGCAAUGUUGGAUCCUUAACCCACUGUGCCAGGCCAAGGAUCAAACUGGUGCCUCCACAGAGACAAGCCAGAUCAUUAACCCACUGUGUCACAGCAGGAACUCUAGGACUUUCUUCAAGGGUGAAUAAUGUUUCAUUGUAUGUAUAUGUGUGGCAGAGUGUGUGUAUGUGUUUGUGUGUGUUUGUGACAUCUUUGUUACCAUUCAUCCAUCAAAAGAUACUUAAUUUGUUUCCAUGCCUUAGCUAUUGUGAAUAAUUGCUGCAAUGAACAUAAGAGUACAGAUAUCUCUUCAAGAAUUAUUUUGUUUCCUGGAGUCCCUCUCGUGGCUCAGUGGUUAAUGAACUCGACUAGCAUCCAUGAGGACGCAGGUUUGACCCCUGGCUUCACCCAGUGGGUUAAGGAUCCAGCGUUGCUGUGAGCUGUGGUGUAGGUCGCAGACAUGGCUCAGAUCUGGUGUUGCUAUGGCUGUGGCAUAGGCCGGCAGCUGUAGCUCUGAUUGGACCCCUAGCCUGGGGACCUCCAUAUGCCACAGUUGCAGCAGUGAAAAGACAAAAAAAAGAAUUAUUUUGUUUCCUAAAAAUAGAGCUACUAUAUGAUCCAGCAAUCCUACUCCUGGGCAUAUAUCCAGAGAAAACUCUAAUUUGAAAAGAUACACGCACCUCAAUGUUCAUAGAAGCACUACGUACAAUAGCCAAGACAUGCAAGCAACCUAAAUGUCCAUUGACAGAUGAAUGGAUAAAGAAGAUGUGGUACAUAUAUACAAUGGAAUACUACUCAGCCAUAAAAGAGAAAUAAUGCCAUUUGUAGCAACAGGGAUGGACCUAAAGAUUAUCAUACUAAGUGAAGUAAGUCAUACAGAGAAAGUUAAACAUAUGGUAUCACUUAUAUGUAGAAUCUUUAAAAAAAUGAUAAAAAAGUGAUACAAAGGAACCUAUUUCCAAAAUAGAAAUAGACUUGCAGACAUAGAAAACCAACUUACAGUUUCCAAAAGGGAAAGGGGGGAGGGAUAAAUUAUUAGGAGUUUUGGAUUAACAGAUACACACUACUAUAUAUAAAAUAGGUAAACAAGGACCUACUCUCUAGCAUAGGGAACNAUUCAUUCAAUUCAAUAUUCUGAAUCACUUUGCUAUACACCAGAAGUAACACAACACUGUAAAUCAACUAUACUUCAAUAAAAAAGAAUUAUUUUGUUUCCUUUGGACAUAUACUCAGAAGUGAGAUUGUUGAAUCAUAUGGUAGUUCCAUUUUUAAUUUCUUGAGAAAUAUCCAUUCUGUUUUCCAUAGUGGCUGUGAUAGUUUACAUUCCUACGAGUAGUAUACAAGGGUUCUCUUUCCUCCACGUCCUCAAUAGCCUUUGUUAUCUCUUGCCAUUUGAUGAUAAACAUUCUAACAGGUGUGAGAUGAUAUGUAGUUGUGGCUUUGAUUUACUUUUCUCUCUUGGUUAGUGAUGUUGAGCACCUUUUCAUGAUGUACCCAUUAGCCAUCUGGGUUUCUUUUUUUGGAAAAAUGUCUAUUUAGUUCUUAUGCACAUUUAAAAAAUUAGAUUUUUUUCUUUUAUUUAUGUUUGUUCCUUUUAUUAUUAGGUUGUAUGUGUUGCAUAAAUUCUUUAUAUAUUUUUGAUAUUACUCCCUUAUUUGAUAAUGUGGUUUACAAAUAUUUUUUCCCAUUCCAUAAGUUGCCCUUUUAUUUUGUUGAUUGUUUCUUUUACAGUGCAAGAGCCUUUUAGUUUAAUGUAGUCCCACUUGUUGAUUUUUUGCUUUUGUUGCUUGUGUGUUUGGUGCCACAUCAAAAAAAAA
RNAcentral lists this long non-coding RNA (2836 nucleotides) under Sus scrofa (pig). Its description in RNAcentral is "lncRNA (ENSSSCG00060005652.1)". The record is from RNAcentral. Lineage: Eukaryota; Metazoa; Chordata; Mammalia; Artiodactyla; Suidae.